CUACGGGGUGCUGCAGUGAGGAAUAUUGCACAAUGGGGGGAGCCCUGAUGCAGCAACGCCGCGUGGAGGAUGACGCAUUUCGGUGUGUAAACUCCUUUUAUAUGUCAAGAAAAUGACGGUAGCAUAUGAAUAAGCACCGGCUAACUCCGUGCCAGCAGCCGCGGUAAUACGGAGGGUGUGAAGCGUUACUCGGAAUCACUGGGCGUAAAGGACGCGUAGGCGGGUUGGAAAGUCAGGUGUGAAAUCCUACAGCUUAACUGUAGAACUGCACUUGAAACUUCUAAUCUAGAGUAUGGGAGGGGGAGAUGGAAUUAGUGGUGUAGGGGUAAAAUCCGUAGAUAUCACUAGGAAUACCUAAAGCGAAGGCGAUCUCCUGGAACAUUACUGACGCUAAGGCGUGAAAGCGUGGGGAGCAAACAGGAUUAGAUACCCGGGUAGUC
Molecule: ribosomal RNA, 440 nt
Filed under: uncultured bacterium
Lineage: Bacteria
Description: partial 16S ribosomal RNA
Rfam family: Bacterial small subunit ribosomal RNA
Source: RNAcentral